RNAcentral lists this long non-coding RNA (1543 nucleotides) under Piliocolobus tephrosceles (Ugandan red Colobus). RNAcentral describes it as "lncRNA (ENSPTEG00000007767.1)". Lineage: Eukaryota; Metazoa; Chordata; Mammalia; Primates; Cercopithecidae. The record is from RNAcentral.
UGUACCAAUUUUGUUCAUAAAAACAAUGAGUUUUGUACCCAGGAUAAGCUAGAAGGAUAUGACGUAACGACAGAUAGAGGUAAACCAAACAGAUUUAUAUGCUUAGAUAAUAAAAUGGACAUAAAUAAAAAGGAAUAUGGGCACUAUACAAAUAAUACAUAUAAUAAUAACGAUACUUAUGACAGUGUACAUAUAAACUGUGAUAAUGAUUAUUUUAAAAAAGUUAAACAAAAUAAUCAAAUUAUAAUAGAUUCUAAAGAUAUAGGAAAUAGGAAUAUCAAUAACACUCACAAUUGUGUUAAUGGUAGUAUCAGCAGUAGAAGUAGUAACAACAAUAAACAUAAUUUAACCGGUAGUAGCUAUGAGUCUAGCAAUUACAACACUAACAGCAAUAAUGACAGUACUAGUAAUCGUAAUUAUUAUAGUUGUCAUGACACAAAUGAUCAAGAUAAUAUUUCUGUUGCUGCAACAUAUAAUAACGUAGUAUAUAACAAAAAUACUAUUCCUAUGGAUAAUGAAAGAACAAAAAAUGAUACAUUAAAAAAAAAAAAAACUACUACAACUAUCGGUACUAUACCUACAACUUCUAUCACAACUACCCCAAAUGCAUCUGUAUCUACUACUACUUUAUUAGAUACGAAAAAUUAUAUUGAAGAAUACUUUCAUAAAAUAACACCAGAAAAUUGCAUGAAGAAUACAAAAUACGAAAACGCAUCUAACACACAUAACGACUUCGCAAACAACAAAAACAACAACAACAACAACAACAACAACGACAUUACAUCUCAGUUGAAGAAUUAUAAAAAUAGUGGGUAUAACACAAAUAGCCAGAAUGGUGGGCACAACAGUAAUGACAAUAGUAACAACCACAUUUGUGACCACGAUGUCAGUAGAGGUGUACAUUAUUGUGCUAUAGAUAACAGAAAAAAAAAAAAGAACCAACCAUAUAAGGAGUUACCAUGUAAAGACAUAAAUAGUACAUGUGUGAGUAAUAAGAAUGAAUGUAAUACAAACACAUUAACUGAAAAAAUGGAAAACGGUAAUGGUAAUGAAGAGAGACAGAAUAAAAAAUAUAAUAUUAAAAAUUUGGGUAAUAAUAAAAGUAAUAAUAUUAUGAUGAAUGAACAAAUGGAUAUGUCAUUACAAGAUACGUACGUAAUGCGCCAGAACAACAAUACAUAUAAAGACACGCACAAUGAAAAUUGCUAUAAUAAUAAUGACAUCAAAAUUACUGCUACUUCUGUUACUUCUGCUGCUACUACUGUUACUUCUGCUGCUACUACUGUUACUUCUGCUGCUACUACUGCUACUUCUGCUGCUACUACUGUUACUUCUGCUGCUACUACUGUUACUUCUGCUGCUACUACUGUUACUUCUGCUGCUACUACUGUUACUUCUGCUGCUACUACUGCUACUUCUGCUGCUACUACUGCUACUUCUAAUGCUACUACUGUUACUUCUAAUGCUAACAAUAAUGACAGUGCUUGUAACAUUAAUAACCAGGUGUCACCAACACGUAAUAUACGCACGUCCAACGGGAAAG